GUUAACAUGGCUGUAUAACCUAAAUCAAUAAUUUGCAGUUCUCCGCAAGCUAUUAUUUAUCUGCUUGAUUGCUUCAUUUGCAAAAGUGUGGAUCAAAAUGUCCUGAAGUGUCAAGUGUUUAACUACUUAUUUAGUAGAGCGCUAAAAUUAUCAAACGAAACAUGAGUUUUGGGAUUUGUAAUCGAUGUAGCUAAGAUUUGGUUUAUUGAUUUUACAUGAAGAAGUGUGGUGUAUCUGGAAUUAUGUUCAAUUAACAAUCAAGCUAUGCCUCUUGUGUGCAGCAGCUCUUAAGUUGCCAUGCAAUAUAACGAAGUCUUUAGCUGUUGAUUGCACAAGCCAUAUGCCAACUACUGUAAAAAGCUGGACUCGAAAGGAUGUGCCGAGUUUUCCUUUAUUUAAGAUGAUUUAUUUUUAUAACUGAAUCAACUACCUCCAACUUAAAAUUCAUGAAGUCCAGAAGACGAUUUGUUUUCAGUGUAUUAUAUCGUAUAUGAUUCAACUGUUGGUGUUGUUCAUACACCAUCUCUAGAAGAUUAUAUUCCGUUUCCUUGUAUAUGGAGUUUGUAUCGAUACUCUUAAUACUCGACCAUGAGUUUCUUCACGCGAAAUGAAUAUGAAUUCUGCUCCA
Molecule: non-coding RNA, 628 nt
Organism: Arachis ipaensis
Lineage: Eukaryota; Viridiplantae; Streptophyta; Magnoliopsida; Fabales; Fabaceae
Source: RefSeq, a predicted model, not a curated record